RNAcentral lists this transfer RNA (109 nucleotides) under Candidatus Freyarchaeota archaeon. Its description in RNAcentral is "tRNA-Gly". The record is from RNAcentral. Lineage: Archaea; Promethearchaeati; Candidatus Freyarchaeota.
GCGGCCGUGGUCUAGUCUGGUCUAGGACCCAGGCCCCCCAAUAGCCUGUGACCCGGGUUCAAAUCCAGUUUGGGUUUUCCAGCUGGUGAGUAUCCCGGCGGCCGCACCA